CCAGAUCAACCCAUGUGAGAAUAUAGUUUAAUAAAUAAUAUGUUCCUUAAGUUUGAAAGAAUUAAGGGAUAAGCUACUCAUUUAGGUUGAAAAACUAAUGGGUAAACCAUAAAAUUAAAUUACUAUUGCAAUUAGAAUUGUUCAUUGGGAAUUAAAAAUAGUUCACAACCCUAGCUGCUUAAGCAUCUUGGUAACCAUAACUCUAGUUUGACUUUUCUCAUUGAAUUACUUUUUACAAUACAACCAAAAGUUGGAUUACUUUCUUUGACAAAUAUUUGAAUAUAAUUGAUAAAUUAAAAUCCCCCUCUAUUCUUUAACCUUUGACCAACAGUUUAGUAACAUCUAUAAUAUUUAGUGAACACAGUAUUCCAUGUGGGAUUCGACACCCAACCCAGUUGGUUUCUAUAUUUGACAGUGACCACUUACACUCUCUGACGAGAGUUGUAAUUAGGGCGUAUUAAAUUUUGGCGUCAUUGCCAGGGAAUACGAUUGUCAAUUAAGUUUGUGCUUGUUAAUUGACCUUUGGUUAAGCUUCUCAAAUUUUACUUUUGUUUGUUUUUUUUGUUCGGUGUAGGAUAGUUAUUGUGUAUGCCAAGUACACGGAGAUAGAGGUAAAAGACUAAUCAAACCGUCUAGUAGCUGGUUCCCUUCGAAGUUUCCCUCAGGAUAGCUGGAGCUCAUAUGAGAGUUUUAUCGAGUAAAGCCAAUGAUUAGAGGCCUCAGGGCCGCAACUCCCUCAACUUAUUCUCAAACUUUAAAUAGGUAGGAUGGUGUGAUUGUUUUUUAUCUACACUACAGAAUCAAGAGCUCUAAGUGAGCAUUUUUGGUAAUAAAAAUCGACAAUAUGGGAUAAACCAGAAGCUGGGUUACUGUGUUAAACUGCGAGCUAACCUAGAUCCCACAAAGGGUGUUGGUCGAUUAAGGCAGCAGGACGGAGAUCUUGGAAGUCAAAAUCCGCUAAGGAUUGUGUAAAAACUCACCUGCUAAAUUAUCUAGGAUUGAAAAUAAAUGGAGUUUAAGUGCGCAACCUACACCCAGCCGUUGGGACAAGUACCAGGCCUCAAUGAGCAGAAGGGCAUAACUGUCGCUGCAAAACCUUGGGCGCGAGCCUGGGCAGAGAGAUCGUCGAUAUAGAUCAUGGUGAUAGUAGGAAAUAUUCAAAUGAGAACUUUGAAGGCCAAAGAGGAAAAAGGUUCCAUAUGAAUGAUACUUGCACAUGGGUUAGUCAAUUCUAAGGGUUGAGGUAACCCUAAUAAAUAGCGUAUUUAGUGCGUACUCCAAAAAAGAAUCAAGUUAAAAUUCCUGAACUGGGAUGUGGCGGUCGACGACAAUGUUAGGAUGUUCAGAGACAUCGGUGGGAGCCUCGAGAAGAGUCAUCUUUUCUUUUUAACAACCUACCCACUCUGGAAUCGGCUCAGCUGGAGGUAGGGUCCAGUAGCUGUAAGAGCAUUGCACAUCACAUGGUGUUUGGUGCAAUUUUGGUGGCCCUUAAAAAUUUGGAGGGCCGAAUGCCAUCCACGCUCAAUCGUAAUCAUAGCCACAUCAGGUCUCCAGGGUGAACAACCUCUGUUCGAUGGUAUAAUGUAGACAAGGGAAGUUGGCAAAAUAGAUCCGCAACUUUGGCAAAAGGAUUGGCUCUGAGGGCUGGGCAUAGGGGUCCUAGUCCUAAACCCAUUGGUUAUCGGUGGACUACCCGAGUUGUUCCUGAGGCAAGAACGGGUCAUCACGGGCCGUCUGGGGGACGGACUGGGAAUGGUUCCUUCUAGGGCCUUCCCCGUACGACGAACGAUCAACUCAGAACUGGUACAGACAAAGGGAAUCUGACUAUUUAAUUAAAAUAAUACAUUGUGAUAGUCCCUAUGAAUGUUCACGCAAUGUGAUUUCUGCCUAGUGCUCUGAAUGUCAAAGUAAAGAAUUUCCACAAAGCGCGGGUAAACGACGGGAGUAAGUAUGACUCUCUUAAGGUAGCCAAAUGUCUCAUUAUAUAAUUAGUGACGCACAUGAAUGGAUUUACGAGAUUCCCUCUAUCCCUGUGUACUAUCCAGAAAAACCACAGCCAAGGGAACGGUAUUGGUAGAAUCAGCGGGGAAAGAAGACCCUGCUGAGCUUGACUCUAGUCCGGCUUUGUGAAAUGACUUGAUAGGUGUAAUAUAAGUGGGAUUCAAAAGGAAAAAGUGAAAUAACGCUACUUUUAACGUUAUUUUACUUAUUCCUUAAAUCAGAAGCAGGGUACUGCCCCUCUUUUUGAACCCAAGGUUCGCUCUGCGGGUUGAUUCAGGUGAAAGACAUUGUCAGGUGGGGAGUUUGGCUAGGUAAAAGGUUAUCUGAUUCUGAUUUCCAGUACGAUUACGAAUCGUGAAAGCAUUGCCUAAUGAUCCUUCAGAACUUUGGAAUUCGAACCAUCGUGAGAUACGUUAGUUUUACCCAACUGAUGAUAGUGUCAUAAUAGUAAUUCAACCUAGUAUGAAAAAAACCAUUGAUUCACUCAAUUGGUCAUCGCCCUUGGUUGAAAAGCCAGUGGCACGAAUCUACCGUGUGUUGGAUUAUGAUUGAAUGCCUCUAAGUGAGAAUCUUGGCUAGAAGCGAUGUAUGUGCCCGCCAUCCACUUGUCGACCCGUAGUAGGGGUUUUGGCCUGCAAGGGCAUAUGUCAUUGGAUAAGCCAUUACGGUGAAAAGGUCGCGGUGGCCGCCUUGAAGUAUAAUUUCCAUUGAUUAGUGGGUAGAAUCCUUUCCAGAUGACUUAAAUACGUGACAGGGUAUUGUAAGUGGCAGAGUGGCCUUGCUGCCACGAUCCACUAAGAUUCAGCCAUUUGUCGCUCUAGUUCAU
Non-coding RNA from Capsicum annuum, 2827 nucleotides. The record is from Rfam. Lineage: Eukaryota; Viridiplantae; Streptophyta; Magnoliopsida; Solanales; Solanaceae.